GUCAGACAGCAGGCACCGCGAUCUGAACAGCUCUGCCAAGAGUUGGGUGUGGACGAGCCCCUAAAAAUACUGUAGCCCAGCCCCUCACUUUGAGCUGAAAUGAAAGCUGAAAGGGGCUUUGAAGCGAAGAAAAGUGAAAUGCCUGGCCCAUAUUCCCGGCAGAAUUGGCUGUAGAACAUGAAUAAGCCCGGGUGCCCCGAACCAGUGCGGACAGAAGAGCGGAUGUUUAGUGACUCGUUGGAUGACAAGCACAGGGCAGCCAGGAAGCAAGUGGGGUGUAAGUAAAUGUCCCGGCUGUGGUCAGGAAGGCCACGCCUGGUCCGCAGGGAGCUGUACAACACACCUGGGCAUUUCUCAGCCUCGGGUCUCUAAGAUGAUUGGAAGGGAGCCACGCCAGGAACAGAGAGCGCUGUGCUAGGCUUCACUCAACAAGCGGAAGUGUAAUUGGCGAACAAACCACAAACACUGUGGAGAGGGCUCAGAGGGGUGUGUCCAUCCCUCCACACAAGGAGCCGGGUGUUCUCCACCAAGCACAGCCGGUGCCCCAGCCUGGCCAGGGCUGACUCAGUCAAACUGACUUCUGUCAUCAGCAAGCCCUGCACGUGUGUACCCUGCGGUCCCGCCAGUGGCAGAGCCGAGCUCCCGGACCGUUAUAAAAUAACUUUGUCAGGAAACCGCCAUCCCAGGUGGGGCCCCCCAGGUGCCUGACCACCUCUGAUUAGGGCUCCCAGGUGGGAGCCCUGUGCGCUCCCGGCACUGCUGCCCUUCCCAGCCAGCCGUCCCCACAUCCACUCUCAUCCCAAAGAGGCUGCACCCAGUGCUGCCCGGCAGGAGCACUUCCGGUCCCACAGAGACAGGAACUCACACUGUGGCAGCAGCUUGAUGUGCCAGACGCUCUGCAAAGGCCUCUUCUCUUCACAAAGGGGACGCUUGCCGUUGAGUGCCCAGAGGACAGAGUCCCAGGAUAAAUGUGUUCUCUUUCUAGAAUGCUAAUUUCACUCAAAGAUUUGAGAAGGAAAGUUAAUUAGUGUAAGGAGGCAACGAGUAUUCCCAGAUUCCUGGAAAUCCUCCAGAUCAUCUACACAUAGUACAAAUAACACUACAUCUUGGAGAGCUUCUCAUAACAUGUUCAUCAAGAAUUAUGUCAUCAUUGUAACAGCUGCACAGUAUCUCAUUGUAUGCAUGUGCCAGAAUUUGUAAACCAGCCCUAUGACGGUUAUGUCCAAUAUUUUCCUGUUAUAAACAACACUGCAACAAUAUGA
Suricata suricatta (meerkat) is the source of this 1262-nucleotide long non-coding RNA. RefSeq lists it as uncharacterized. The transcript is spliced from 5 exons. Lineage: Eukaryota; Metazoa; Chordata; Mammalia; Carnivora; Herpestidae. The record is from RefSeq and is a predicted model, not a curated record.